RNAcentral lists this ribosomal RNA (687 nucleotides) under uncultured bacterium. RNAcentral describes it as "bacterial SSU rRNA". It matches the Rfam family "Bacterial small subunit ribosomal RNA", at positions 66 to 746 of the family's 1533-position model. The record is from RNAcentral.
GGGGCAGCAUGGGGUAGCAAUACUCUGAUGGCGACCGGCAAACGGGUGAGGAACAUGUACGCAACCUUCCUUUAACUGGAGAAUAGCCCCUCGAAAGAGGGAUUAAUACUCCGUAACAUAUUUUUAAGACAUCUUAUUAAUAUUAUAGCUCCGGCGGUUAAAGAUGGGCGUGCACCUGAUUAGAUAGUUGGCGGGGUAACGGCCCACCAAGUCUGCGAUCAGUAACUGGUGUGAGAGCACGACCAGUCACACGGGCACUGAGACACGGGUCCGACUCCUACGGGAGGCAGCAGUAAGGAAUAUUGGUCAAUGGACGCAAGUCUGAACCAGCCAUGCCGCGUGGAGGAUUAAGGCCCUCUGGGUUGUAAACUCCUUUUAUCUGGGAAGAAAUGUACUUUUUCUUGAGUACUUGACGGUACCAGAGGAAUAAGCACCGGCUAACUCCGUGCCAGCAGCCGCGGUAAUACGGAGGGUGCAAGCGUUAUCCGGAUUCACUGGGUUUAAAGGGUGCGUAGGUGGGCAGGUAAGUCAGUGGUGAAAUCUCCGGGCUUAACCCGGAAACUGCCGUUGAUACUAUUUGUCUUGAAUAUUGUGGAGGUAAGCGGAAUAUGUCAUGUAGCGGUGAAAUGCUUAGAUAUGACAUAGAACACCAAUUGCGAAGGCAGCUUACUACACAAUGAUUGACGC